GAUGAACGCUAGCUACAGGCUUAACACAUGCAAGUCGCGGGGCAGCAUGACAUCAGCUUGCUGAUGUUGAUGGCGACCGGCGCACGGGUGAGUAACGCGUAUCCAACCUGCCCUUUACUAUGGGACAGCCCGUCGAAAGGCGGAUUAAUACCGUAUGUUGUCAUGUUGAUGCAUAUUUUCAUGACCAAAGGCUUCGGCCGGUAAAGGAUGGGGAUGCGUCUGAUUAGCUUGCCGGCGGGGUAACGGCCCACCGGGGCGACGAUCAGUAGGGGUUCUGAGAGGAAGGUCCCCCACAUGGGAACUGAGACACGGUCCAA
Molecule: ribosomal RNA, 317 nt
Filed under: uncultured bacterium
Lineage: Bacteria
Description: bacterial SSU rRNA
Rfam family: Bacterial small subunit ribosomal RNA
Source: RNAcentral